AGCGAACGCUGGUGGCGUGCUUAACACAUGCAAGUCGCGCGCGAAAGAGGGCUUUCGGGUCUUGAGUAGAGCGGCGCACGGGUGCGUAAGACGCGGGUGACCUAUCCACGAGGUGGGAUAACCCUUCGAAGAGGGCUAAUACCGGAUGAGCCCACAGGCAGAGAUGCGUAGGGGCAAAGGGUGCGAUUUACUAAGCGCAUCUCUUCGUGGCGGGGCCCACGGCCUAUCAGCUAGUUGGUGUGGUAACGGCACACCAAGGCGAAGACGGGUAGCUGGUCUGAGAGGA
RNAcentral lists this ribosomal RNA (286 nucleotides) under uncultured bacterium. Its description in RNAcentral is "partial 16S ribosomal RNA". It matches the Rfam family "Bacterial small subunit ribosomal RNA", at positions 29 to 300 of the family's 1533-position model. The record is from RNAcentral.